ACACUGUUACUUAUCCUCCUUAUCUUUAAUGUUCACUUGUCUUGCCUGUUGAGAUAAGGCUUCCAGGACCAGACCUGGCCACCAUCCAGAGCCUGAGCAGCAUUAAGCCUUUCUUCUCGAGCCCUGAAGCACUGUGCCAAGAGCAGGCUAGAUAAUGAGCAAUAAAAGGUGGAAGGAGCUCAAGCCCAGCACUAUCUCUAUAAACACUUUUAUUGUGUCUCAUUCCCUUUUUGAAGUCUUGUCUCUGGGAAACAGGAAGAAAAGUGGCCUUUUGGCUGCUCUUUUGGCAUCAAGAGGUUCCUUCUGGAAAAACACUUGAGUUACUCCUUCCCUGGAGAACAAGCAAGGGGAGAUCUCUAGGAGGAAAUACCUUCCUAUCUCAGUAGUUCUGUGAUAUUUUAAAUUAUAGUGAAUACAACUUACAAACUAUACUCCCGAUACUUUUAUCAGGUAAAGGGAGUAUAUUUCCUGUGGUGUUCCAUAGUUUAAAUUUGCAGUUUCGAGCGAAUUUAUUUAAGCGAAUGCAUAUCGAUUUGGGAUCUACUCUUGAAAAUGUUCCUGCACGUGAAGUUGGUGCUGCUGAGUGAAUACUAUUAGAGACUGAUAGUCUCCAGGAAUCAGACUUAAAUCUACAUGAAUCAGAGAAGAGUUUCACUGGUGUGUUUCAGCCCUGUUUUUAAAGAAGGUUUUCUCUGUGGGGGACAGGGUAAAUUAGUCUCUAAGCUCCUGCUGUGAGGAUUGCAUGUGGACCCUCAUGGGAAGGCAUAAUACAGAUCACUGAGUAUCAGAAACUUCCUAGCUGGAUUUAGACGUACUUAUCUAUAGCACUGUAACUGUUUGAUCCUCAUCACACAGAUAAUUCACAGUACUUGAAGGCGGUUAAACCUGCAGCACCGUCAGUUUGGACCAGGCUUUUAUGGUAGCUCCAUAGUAGCAACCCUGCAACUAGUGUGAUGGUUCAAUCUACAACUGCAGUGGGUGCUCCUACACUUUGCUUAUCAAAUCUGAGACACAACUGUGUUCAUUUGGAGCUGGUGCAUUACAAACUAGUUCUGGUGCUGUCUGAUGCUUUCACUGCCUCAGGGACAAGCCAUUUUAUUUUUCCCAAAGUAUUACUGACCCCCUGUUAUUAGAUUUUACCCAUGGCAAACAUUUUGGCCCUUCCCCUUAUUGCUUUUUGAGUCGCACCUUGUUUGUGAAUUCCCAGGUGACUGUUCAAAUGUACUUGGUGUAAAAUUCACUGCAACCCAUCUAAGAUUUCGCUGCAGGCUCCAAAGGAUAGACCUUAACUUGGAUUUUAUUAGGCUGUGGAUCUAUAAAAAAAUAAAAAAGAAUAAUAAUAAAAAUCAGUUUUGAGAAAGGGAAUUACAUCAAAUUAUUAUUAUAUUUUGAGUCUGAUGGAAUAGAAACAUGUGUUUGCAUCUGAGCACUGACUGUAAUCACACAGGUAACUAAAACCAUCUGAGAUGCCCUGAGGCAUCUGUACAGGGCUGGUGGGUAUGGAAGAUAUAUUGGAGUAUGCAGUAAGUAGCCAAGCAGGGUCCCUUUAUCGGACUAAAGGUUUGUAAUUGUGAGAGCGCCACAAACUCUCACUCUUUAAAUACAAUGAUUCAUACACACAUGGGCUGUUAACAGAAGAUUAAAUGUUAAAAGUGUGAAUUAAAUGUUAAAAGAAA
Long non-coding RNA from Strigops habroptila (Kakapo), 1676 nucleotides. Lineage: Eukaryota; Metazoa; Chordata; Aves; Psittaciformes; Psittacidae. The record is from Ensembl.